GACGAACGCUGGCGGCGUGCUUAACACAUGCAAGUCGAACGGUAAGGCCCUUCGGGGUACACGAGUGGCGAACGGGUGAGUAACACGUGGGUGAUCUGCCCUGCACUUCGGGAUAAGCCUGGGAAACUGGGUCUAAUACCGGAUAGGACCACUGGCUGCGUGGGUGGUGGUGGAAGGCUUUUGCGGUGUGGGAUGGGCCCGCGGCCUAUCAGCUUGUUGGUGGGGUGAUGGCCUACCAAGGCGACGACGGGUAGCCGGCCUGGGAGGGGUGACCGGCCACACUGGGACUGAGAUACGGCCCAGACUCCUACGGGAGGCAGCAGUGGGGAAUAUUGCACAAUGGGCGCAAGCCUGAUGCAGCGACGCCGCGUGAGGGAUGACGGCCUUCGGGUUGUAAACCUCUUUCAGCACCGACGAAGCGCAAGUGACGGUAGGUGCAGAAGAAGGACCGGCCAACUACGUGCCAGCAGCCGCAGUAA
RNAcentral lists this ribosomal RNA (479 nucleotides) under uncultured bacterium. RNAcentral describes it as "partial 16S ribosomal RNA". It matches the Rfam family "Bacterial small subunit ribosomal RNA", at positions 28 to 523 of the family's 1533-position model. The record is from RNAcentral.